UUGAGAGCUUGCUUUUAUUAUUUUAGCGGCGGACGGGUGAGUAACGUGUGGGUAACCUGCCUUUUACUGGGGAAUAAUCACUGGAAACGGUGACUAAUACCGCAUAAUAUUCUUAGGAGGCAUCUUCUGAGAAGGAAAGGAGAAAUUCGGUAAAAGAUGGGCCCGCAUCUGAUUAGCUAGUUGGUGAGAUAACAGCCCACCAAGGCGACGAUCAGUAGCCGACCUGAGAGGGUGACCGGCCACAUUGGGACUGAGACACGGCCCAAACUCCUACGGGAGGCAGCAGUGGGGAAUAUUGCACAAUGGGGGAAACCCUGAUGCAGCAACGCCGCGUGAAGGAAGACGGUUUUCGGAUUGUAAACUUCUAUCAAUAGGGAAGAAAGAAAUGACGGUACCUAAAUAAGAAGCCCCGGCUAACUACGUGCCAGCAGCCGCGGUAAUACGUAGGGGGCAAGCGUUAUCCGGAAUUACUGGGUGUAAAGGGAGAGUAGGCGGCAAGGUAAGCGAUAUGUGAAAGCCUUAGGCUUAACCUGAGGAUUGCAUAACGAACUAUCUAGCUAGAGUACAGGAGAGGAAAGCGGAAUUCCUAGUGUAGCGGUGAAAUGCGUAGAUAUUAGGAAGAACACCAGUGGCGAAGGCGGCUUUCUGGACUGAAACUGACGCUGAGGCUCGAAAGCGUGGGGAGCGAACAGGAUUAGAUACCCUGGUAGUCCACGCUGUAAACGAUGAGUGCUAG
RNAcentral lists this ribosomal RNA (736 nucleotides) under uncultured bacterium. RNAcentral describes it as "bacterial SSU rRNA". It matches the Rfam family "Bacterial small subunit ribosomal RNA", at positions 72 to 819 of the family's 1533-position model. The record is from RNAcentral.